UGAAUACGAGAUGCUACGGCAUCGAAGCAGUCUAUGUCAUACUUCCAAGAAAAGCUUGCACUGUCAUAAACAAAUAAUGCCUGUACCAUAACCGACACAGGUGGGUAGGUAGAGUAUACUAAGGGGCGCGAGAUAACUCUCUCUAAGGAACUCGGCAAAAUGACUCCGUAACUUCGGGAGAAGGAGUGCCUUAUUUUAUAAGGUUGCAAUAACAAGAUCCAAGCAACUGUUUACCAAAAACACAGGUCUCCGCUAAGUCGUAAGACGAUGUAUGGGGGCUGACGCCUGCCCAGUGCCAGAAGGUUAAAGAAGUUGGUUAGCAUUAGCGAAGCUGAUAACUGGAGCCCUGGUGAACGGCGGCCGUAACGAUAACGGUCCUAAGGUAGCGAAAUUCCUUGUCGGGUAAGUUCCGACCCGCACGAAAGGCGUAAUGAUUUGGAUACUGUCUCGGAGAGGGGCUCGGUGAAAUAGACUUGUCUGUGAAGAUGCGGACUACCUGCACCAGGACAGAAAGACCCUAUGAAGCUUUACUGUAACUUGAGAUUGAAAUUGGACUUUAUUUGCGCAGUAUAGGUGGGAGACGUUGAAAAUAUUCUUGCGGGAAUAUUGGAGUCAUCAGUGAGAUACCACUCUUAUAAUGUUAGAUUUCUAACUUUGUAUCAUUAUCUGGUCAAAGAACAGUCUCAGGCGGGCAGUUUGACUGGGGCGGUCGCCUCCCAAACGGUAACGGAGGCGCACAAAGGUUUCCUCUGAACGUGUAGAAAUCGUAUCUAGAGUGUAAAGGCAUAAGGAAGCUUGACUGUGAGACCUACAAGUCGAGCAGGGACGAAAGUCGGUCUUAGUGAUCUGACGGUGCUGAGUGGAAAGGCCGUCACUCAACGGAUAAAAGUUACUCUAAGGAUAACAGGCUGAUCUCCCCCAAGAGUUCACAUCGACGGGGAGGUUUGGCACCUCGAUGUCGGCUCAUCGCAUCCUGGGGCGGUAGUACGUCCCAAGGGUUGGGCUGUUCGCCCAUGAAAGCGGUACGCGAGCUGGGUUCAGAACGUCGUGAGACAGUUCGGUCCAUAUCCGGUGUAGGCGUUAGAAUAUUGAGAGGAGCCUUCUUUAGUACGAGAGGACCGAGAAGGACAUACCUCUGGUGUACCAGUUAUCGUGCCAACGGUAAACGCUGGGUAGCUAUGUAUGGAGAGGAUAACCGCUGAAAGCAUCUAAGUGGGAAGCCCACCUCAAGAUAAGUAUUCUCAU
RNAcentral lists this ribosomal RNA (1245 nucleotides) under metagenome. RNAcentral's name for it is "bacterial LSU rRNA". It matches the Rfam family "Bacterial large subunit ribosomal RNA", at positions 1564 to 2817 of the family's 2925-position model. The record is from RNAcentral.